GCCUAGCCGUAAACUUUAAAUUACACCUACAUCGCCUGAGAACUACGAGCAAAGCUUAAAACUCAAAGGACUUGACGGUACCCCAUAUCCCCCUAGAGGAGCCUGUCCUAUAAUCGAUAACCCCCGUUUAACCUCACCAUUUUUAGCCAAUCAGCCUGUAUACCUCCGUCGUCAGCUUACCACGUGAGCGAAACUUAGUGAGCUUAAUGCCUUUACACCAAUACGUCAGGUCAAGGUGCAGCAAAUGAAAUGGAAAGAGAUGGGCUACACUUUCUAAUAUAGAAAACACGAAAGACUUUAUGAAAUCUAGUCGGAAGGCGGAUUUAGCAGUAAAAAGAAAUCAG
This 344-nucleotide ribosomal RNA is filed under the name Alsodes sp. DBGUCH 3372. RNAcentral's name for it is "partial 12S ribosomal RNA". It matches the Rfam family "Bacterial small subunit ribosomal RNA", at positions 794 to 1352 of the family's 1533-position model. The record is from RNAcentral. Lineage: Eukaryota; Metazoa; Chordata; Amphibia; Anura; Alsodidae.